This 1514-nucleotide long non-coding RNA is filed under the name Olea europaea (common olive). RNAcentral describes it as "long non-coding RNA (OEUR_LNC011961)". Lineage: Eukaryota; Viridiplantae; Streptophyta; Magnoliopsida; Lamiales; Oleaceae. The record is from RNAcentral.
UUAUAUAACAAUCCCAAGCAACAUAAACAAAGUCAUUUAGUCUUCUUUUCUUGGCAUGAAUCAUCCCUUUUAUAAUUAAUUUCAAACAAGUUCUAUAAAUCAGAUUCUCUACUCUUCACUUCGGAAGAAUAAAGCAAGGCUCCAAAGAAAAGGAAGGCUAAGACUGUCAUUUUUGGUUUCUUUGCAUUUCUAUCAUUAUCAUUUUUGGUUUCUUUGCAUUUCUAGCAUUAUCAUUCCCAAUUUCUGGAAAUUGCUUUGACAGCAGGGCUAGUGUAUUGGUAAACCUAUAUAAAAUGCAUCAAUUUGCUGGUUUUAUUCAAAUCUCAAACUAUAAUAGUCACUGUACUUCAAUGAUGAAGUCUGUGGGUGUAUAAAUGUUUUAGCCCUGUUUGGCCCUCAUUUUCUAAAGCUCAUUUUUCUUCAAAUUUAUUUUCAACCACUUUUUAUGGAACUCACAACUUUAUCAAUUUUCAACCAUAUAUUUCAUCAACUUACAUCAAAAUCUAUUAAAUAUCUAAUUCUUAGCUAAACCAAACACGUAGUUAAUUUUGAAAUUGAGUCUUUGUUACCACCGUGCUUCAAGACAAUUGUGUUCUUAUAUGUGUCUGUGUUUGAUCUUAAUAAAAAGCCCUCAAAACAAGAUGAAAGCACAAACUGUGGCUGAACAUGGAUUAAAGAAAAGUCAUGAAAAUCAGGGAAUGAAAAAGCUUGUAGUAAGGAUCCAUUUAGUAGGACUUCUGCUUCUUAUAGAAGAACUUUGUGAAAAAAACUAACUUAGAUCAAUUUCCUCUAAAAGCCAUUUUAGCCAAACAAAUUAAGCCAUUUGAAAAUUAUCCAAACAUGUUUAGAAGCAUCUUCUUAGUUAUAGAAGUAACUUUUGACUUUACAAAAGUCUCGUCAAAUGUGUCUUUUUCAUAUAUUAAAUUUUGAUGGCUUUGGAACAAUACCAAAACAUUAUAUAACUCUUUCCUUCUUCAACAAUGCUUUCUUUUGUUUGGGCUACAUAAAGAUGGAAAUUUGGGAAACUGAAACAUUUUGAGCUUUGAGAUUCUUUUAUCAUGUUUUAAGUAAACUCGUAUUGAUUUGAUACUUGAAUGAUUUGUGGAAACUUACUAUUAAGGGGUAUCAUAAUUUAUAUGACAAAAGUUGGACAAACUUUGGAUGGUGUAUUAUAUAUACAUUAACCUAAUAUCUUUCAUUAACUAAUUAGAGUUUGAAUUCACUAUUUUACACUGUUUUUGCAAUCUUAUUGUAUAUUUCACUUUGUUAAUUUUUAAAUCUGAAUGCCUCGUUUGUUGGAUGUCUUCCCUACACGUGCAAUAGUCGAAGAAUUUUUUUCCCUUUGAAGACUAAAAUGAGAUAAUGCUAAAUUGAUUUGAGUAUUGAGUUUAUUUGUUUUUGGAUAUAUAUUGAUAUUAGUUGUUGAUGUGAAGAUAGAACGUAACUAGACUUCUCUACUUGAACUACAAAACUUUUCCAUUUCCUUGAGGAAUAUUAAUACAUAUUUUAGGAUU